Molecule: non-coding RNA, 221 nt
Filed under: Propionispora sp. 2/2-37
Lineage: Bacteria; Bacillati; Bacillota; Negativicutes; Selenomonadales; Sporomusaceae
Description: raiA RNA
Rfam family: raiA RNA
Source: Rfam by way of RNAcentral
CUUGCUUAGGUCUGUGGUUGAAAGUCGAUGCCAGUCGCAGGCGAAACGAUCCACGUAAGGAGUUUAAAAAAGCUCUGAGCAUGGUGCGGCUUAGGAGUAAGACCUGCCGAAUCUAAGGGUAACGCCUGGUUCGAGAGGAGUAGUAGUGAGGGGAUUGAAUUCCUAGUAGCGGGCCUCCCAGCAGGCGAGUGUGGGGUCAAAGACCAGGUCGGCUAAGCAAG